This 60-nucleotide transfer RNA is filed under the name Spinacia oleracea (spinach). It matches the Rfam family "tRNA". From Rfam's summary of the family: Transfer RNA (tRNA) molecules are approximately 80 nucleotides in length. Lineage: Eukaryota; Viridiplantae; Streptophyta; Magnoliopsida; Caryophyllales; Amaranthaceae. The record is from Rfam by way of RNAcentral.
AGGCUAUUAGCUCAAAUGGCAGAGCAAUGUGCAAUGUGGGUUCAAAUCCCGCAUAGCCUA